AUGCUCCUGAUGGAUCACCUUUUCAUGAACUUGGUGAAGUCAUGCCUCAUUUGAAAGUUAAACAUGGAUCUGUUUCUAGCAGUAGUAAGUUAUCUGAAACUGUUGGAGGCAGCUUGGAAGAAAGUAUACCUUCUACUUCUGCUAGCUACUUUGAAGGUAGUUCUGCUAUUAGAACAAACCUGCAACAGGCUUCAUCUGGAUUUGAGGAUCUCUCAAAUGUUAAUGAUCAGUCGCGAGUAAAUAAUGACAAUUUACCCUCUGGGAUGCAGUACUCUGAUGAUCAAAGAUUCCGACUUUUUGUUGCUCAGGAUGAAGAAGUUCUUCCUGGAAUACCUAAAAGUAACAACGGUAACCCCUUGAUGAAACCCGCUGCGGACAUUCAGAAUUUGGUUUCCAGUCCUUCUACUCACCCAUCCCUGGCAAAUGAAUUCUCAGAAACUCAUCAGGAUCAGAAUCUGCAUCCGUUUGGCCUGUUGAUGUCUGAGCUUAGAGGUAACUCUCAGCUAAGGCAUGCUCAGUCAUCCGAUAUGUUUUCAAGCAUAGGUGAUCAGGGUCAAACUAUGGAUCCUUUCUUAGAAAAUGAUGUUGCUUUCCAGAAUCAUAGCUCUUUUGGUGCAAUGGUUGAUCAACCUCCUUAUAUGG
This 642-nucleotide unclassified non-coding RNA is filed under the name Hevea brasiliensis (rubber tree). The record is from RNAcentral. Lineage: Eukaryota; Viridiplantae; Streptophyta; Magnoliopsida; Malpighiales; Euphorbiaceae.